Molecule: long non-coding RNA, 1357 nt
Organism: Erpetoichthys calabaricus (reedfish)
Lineage: Eukaryota; Metazoa; Chordata; Cladistia; Polypteriformes; Polypteridae
Exons: 3
Source: RefSeq, a predicted model, not a curated record
UGGAAGCAUGGAGGUGUUUAGGAGAGAUGGCAGUGGAGUUUUUAACCAGAUUAUUUAAUGGAAUCUUGGAAAGUGAGAGGAUGACUGAGGAGUGGAGAAGAAGUGUACUGGUGCCGAUAUUUAAGAAUAAGGGGGAUGUGCAGAGCUGUAGUAACUAUAGGGGGAUAAAAUUGAUAAGCCACAGCAUGAAGUUAUGAGAAAGAGUAGUGGAAGCUCGGUUAAGAAGGGAGGUGAUGAUUAGUGAGCAGCAGGAUGGUUUCAUCCCAAGAAAGAGCACCACAGAUGCGAUGUUUACUCUGAGGAUUUUGAUGGAGAAGUAGAGAGAAGGCCAGAAGGAGUUGCAUUGUGUCUUUGUGGACUUGGAGAAAGCAUAUGACAGAGUGCCUUGAAAGGAGCUGUGGUAUUGUAUGAGGAGGUCGGGAGUGCCAGAGAAGUACGUAAGAGUUGUACAGGAUAUGUACGAGGGCAGUGUGACAGUGGUGAGGUCUGCGGUAGGAGUGACGGAUGCAUUCAACGUGGAGGUGGGAUUACAUCAGGGAUCGGCUCUGAGCCCUUUCUUAUUUGCAAUGGUGAUGGACAGGUUGACAGACGAGAUUAGACAGGAGUCCCACUGGACUAUGAUGUUUGCUGAUGACAUUAUGAUCUGUAGCGAUAGUAGGGAGCAGGUUGAGGAGACCCUGGAGAGGUGGAGAUCUGCUCUAGAGAGGAGAGGAAUGAAGGUCAGUAGGAACAACACGACAGAAUACAUGUGUGUGAAUGAGAGGGAGGUCAGUGGAAUGGUGAGGAUGAGGGAGUAGAGUUGGUGAAGGUGGAUGAGUUUAAAUACUUGGGAUCAACAGUACAGAGUAAUGGGAAUUGUGGAAGAGACGUGAAAAAGAGAGUGCAGGCAGGGUGGAGAAGAGUGUCAGGAGUGAUUUGUGAUAGACGGGUAUCAGCAAGAGCGAAAGGGAAGGUCUGCAGGACGGUAGUGAGACCAGCUAUGUUAUAUGGGCUGGAGACGGUGGCACAGGAGACAGAGCUGGAGGUGGCAGAGUUAAAGAUGCUAAGAUUUGCAUUGGGUGUGACGAAGAUGGACAGGAUUAGAAAUGAGGACAUUAGAGGGUCAGCUCAGGUGGGAUGGUUGGAAGACAAAGUCAGAGAGGUGAGAUUGCGUUGGUUUGGACAUGUGCAGAGGAGAGAUGCUGGGAAUAAUGAGAGAAGGGUACUAAGGAUAGAGCUGCCAGGCAAGAGGAGAAGAGGAAGGCCUAAGAGAAGCUUUAUGGAUGUGGAGAGAGAUGAUAUGCAGGUGAUGGGUGUGACAGAGCAAGAUGACGAGGACAGGAAGAUAUGGAAGAAGAUGAUCCACUGUGUCACCCCC